CUGGGCUGCACUCCUGGAAGCGCUGCCUGGGGCUUGUCCUCGGCUCCCUCUUGGUCCUCGCCACCUGCUCUCCACCCCUCCAUUCGUCAUCUGAGUGCCCUGCAGGGGCCUCCAUCCAGUGUGAAUUAUGAGUCAGAUCUGGACCUGCCUGGGAGAGCACCUCGGAGACAGCGUGGAACUGUUCAGAGAAGACUACCCGUCUGUUCUAGCGACCAGAGGGCACCUGGGUUAACUGCCCCCAAGAAAAAGGCCGGCACCCCAAGCCCUUCUGCUUUUUUUUUUAAGGUAUGCUUUUUGGUGAGGAAGAUUGGCCCUGAGCUGACAUCUGUUGCCAACCUUCCUCUCUCUUUUUUUUUUCCUCCCCAAAGCCCAGCACAUAGUUGUAUAUCCUAGGUGAAGUCAUUCUAUUUCUUCUAUGUGGGAUGCCGCCACAGCAUGGCUUGGUGAGGGGUGCUAGGUCCGCGCCCAGGAUCCGAAGUGGUAAGCACCUGGCCGCUGAAGCAGAGCACAGGAACUUAACCCCUUGGCCAUGGGGUGGCCUCGGCCCUUCUGCUUUGUUCAGCCAC
This 566-nucleotide long non-coding RNA is filed under the name Equus asinus (donkey). RNAcentral describes it as "lncRNA (ENSEASG00005033407.1)". Lineage: Eukaryota; Metazoa; Chordata; Mammalia; Perissodactyla; Equidae. The record is from RNAcentral.